This is a long non-coding RNA of Salvia splendens (bonfire salvia), 593 nucleotides long. RefSeq lists it as uncharacterized. Lineage: Eukaryota; Viridiplantae; Streptophyta; Magnoliopsida; Lamiales; Lamiaceae. The record is from RefSeq and is a predicted model, not a curated record. The transcript has 4 exons.
UCCAUCUGCCCAUGCCAACUUCAUCUCUGUGUAAAUUUUCAAUAGCCCUCUACUCCCUCCGAUCAGCCACCGUGACAGCUCCGAUCACUCCAUCGUGUAACAUGUAACACACUUCAUCAAUUCAAGCUAUCAAUUCCCCCUUUUUCCUCUCAAUUUUAGAGCUUAGGUUGCAAACCCACAUCCACUUAUCUUUGGAAAAUAGUUGAAAUUAGAGGUGAACACGGUGCAAGCACAAGCAAUAAGGGAAAGGAGCACCUCCAUGGUUGACUAAGCCAGUAAUAGCAUUUUUUUGACGUGUACAGAGUAUAGAAGCGAGUGAACUCGCUAGUUGGCAGCAGCACGUGUCAAGUCACCACCUCCUUUUUUUUGCUGGAUCGAGAUGUCAGGUGAAGAAGCCUCUAGUCCUUUUUAUAUUUCUUCUGAUUCUGAGUCUGAAGGGGUUCCUUUAGCCGAUGUUGCUGCUCCUAUGGCGGGGCAAGAUGAUAUAUUACGCACCAUGGCAACUGCAAUGCAACAGAUUGCCAGGAAUGUGCCACCAAGUCAAUCUUCCAUCCUUAAACAGAUGCAUGAAUAUCACGCUGAAGAAUUCAGAG